RNAcentral lists this ribosomal RNA (775 nucleotides) under uncultured Neocallimastigales. RNAcentral describes it as "partial large subunit ribosomal RNA". It matches the Rfam family "Eukaryotic large subunit ribosomal RNA", at positions 22 to 635 of the family's 3401-position model. Lineage: Eukaryota; Fungi; Neocallimastigomycota; Neocallimastigomycetes; Neocallimastigales. The record is from RNAcentral.
GUACACGCUGUGACUAGCAUAUCAAUAAGCGGAGGAAAAGAAACUAACAAGGAUUCCCCUAGUAACGGCGAGUGAAGCGGGAAGAGCUCAAAUUUGAAAUCUUAAAGGGUUUCCCUUUACGAAUUGUAGUUUAAAGAAGUGUUUUCUGUUGAGGUUUUGGUAAAAGUUCUUUGGAAUAGGACAUCAUAGAGGGUGAGAAUCCCGUAUUUGACCUUUACUUUCAACUUUGUGAUACACUUUCAAAGAGUCGGAUUGUUUGGGAAUGCAGUCCAAAAUGGGUGGUAAAUUUCAUCUAAAGCUAAAUAUUGGCGAGAGACCGAUAGCGAACAAGUACCGUGAGGGAAAGAUGAAAAGAACUUUGAAGAGAGAGUUAAACAGUACGUGAAAUUGUCAAAAGGGAAGCGUUUGACACCAGUGUUGUUUUUCUGAAAAUCAAUUAAAUGAACUGUUUAUGCUAAGUUGUUUAGACUUUAUCAGCUAACUGUUUAGUUUUGAGCUUUUCUUUAAUGCACUUUUCAGUUAACAAGUCAACAUCAAUUUCUUUUGCUGUAAAAAAGCUUGAGGAAGGUGGCUUGAGAUUCGUCUUAAGUGUUUAUAGCCUCUUGCCUAUGCAGUCGGAGAGAUUGAGGUCUGCAGCGUAGAUCCUUCGGGGCUAAAUGCAUUUGUGCUAAGUUAUAGCAUUUUAUAGACAACUUGUUGACUAUGAUUUGUCUUGUAGCUUACUCGCUUAUGUUAUUUUACCUACGCUUAGGAUGUUGAAGAUGUAGCACAUCAU